UACAGAGGUCCCAAGCGUUGUUCGGAUUCACUGGGCGUAAAGGGUGCGUAGGUGGUGAGGUACGUCGGAUGUGAAAUCUCCGGGCUCAACCCGGAAAUGGCAUUGGAAACUACCUUGCUUGAGGGUUUGAGGGGGGAUUGGAAUACUUGGUGUAGCGGUGAAAUGCGUAGAUAUCAAGAGGAACACCUGAGGUGAAGACGGGUUGCUGGGCUGACACUGACGCUGAGGCGCGAAAGCCAGGGGAGCAAACGGG
RNAcentral lists this ribosomal RNA (253 nucleotides) under uncultured bacterium. RNAcentral's name for it is "partial 16S ribosomal RNA". It matches the Rfam family "Bacterial small subunit ribosomal RNA", at positions 524 to 776 of the family's 1533-position model. The record is from RNAcentral.